This 490-nucleotide ribosomal RNA is filed under the name uncultured bacterium. Its description in RNAcentral is "partial 16S ribosomal RNA". It matches the Rfam family "Bacterial small subunit ribosomal RNA", at positions 29 to 507 of the family's 1533-position model. The record is from RNAcentral.
AGUGAACGCUGGCGGUAGGCCUAACACAUGCAAGUCGAACGGCAGCACAGGAGAGCUUGCUCUCUGGGUGGCGAGUGGCGGACGGGUGAGGAAUACAUCGGAAUCUGCCCAGUCGUGGGGGAUAACGUAGGGAAACUUACGCUAAUACCGCAUACGACCUUCGGGUGAAGGAGGGGGAUCGCAAGACCUCUCGCGAUUGGAUGAGCCGAUGUCGGAUUAGCUAGUUGGCGGGGUAAUGGCCCACCAAGGCGACGAUCCGUAGCUGGUCUGAGAGGAUGAUCCGCCACACUUGAACCUGAGCCCCGGCCCAGCUCCUUAGGGAAGCCACAGGUGGGGAUUAUUGGCAAAUGGGGGCAAGCUUGAUCAAGCAAAACGGGUGGGUUGAAGAAGGCCUCCGGGUGGUAAGGCCUUUUUGUGGGAAAGAAAUCUUUCAGGCUAAUACCCUGGGAGGAUGACGGUACCCAAAGAAUAAGCACCGGCUAACUUCGUG